GCUAAUACCGCAUAAUAGUGUUUAACACAUGUUAGAGACUUGAAAGAUGCAAUUGCAUCACUAGUAGAUGGACCUGCGUUGUAUUAGCUAGUUGGUGGGGUAACGGCCUACCAAGGCGACGAUACAUAGCCGACCUGAGAGGGUGAUCGGCCACACUGGGACUGAGACACGGCCCAGACUCCUACGGGAGGCAGCAGUAGGGAAUCUUCGGCAAUGGGGGCAACCCUGACCGAGCAACGCCGCGUGAGUGAAGAAGGUUUUCGGAUCGUAAAGCUCUGUUGUAAG
RNAcentral lists this ribosomal RNA (285 nucleotides) under Streptococcus sp. IS3405. Its description in RNAcentral is "partial 16S ribosomal RNA". It matches the Rfam family "Bacterial small subunit ribosomal RNA", at positions 162 to 442 of the family's 1533-position model. Lineage: Bacteria; Bacillati; Bacillota; Bacilli; Lactobacillales; Streptococcaceae. The record is from RNAcentral.